AAGUCGUAACAAGGUCUCCGUAGGGUGAGUUUUGAACGACUUCUAACUAAUAUUGAAUGAAUGCUAACAGAUUUCCAGUGAACCUGCGGAGGGAUCAUUACUGAGUGAGGUCUCUGACCCGACCUCCAACCCUUUGUGAUUUAAACCUCUGUUGCCUCGGGGCGACCCGGACCCGCGUCUAGGGCCCCGACGGACCAUUUCAAAACACUGCAUCUUUGCGUCGGAUUGAAUAAAGUAAAUGAUUAAAACUUUCAACAACGGAUCUCUUGGUUCUGGCAUCGAUGAAGAACGCAGCGAAAUGCGAUAAGUAAUGUGAAUUGCAGAAUUCAGUGAAUCAUCGAGUUUUUGAACGCACACUGCGCCCCUUGGUAUUCCGGGGGCAUGCCCGUUCGAGCGUCAUUUCACCAAUCAAGCCUGGCUUGGCAUUGGGCACCGGGGCGACCCGGGCCUCAAAGUUCGCCGGCUGGAAAGCCCUGAUCUAAGCGUCGUGGUAAUCAAUUCGCUAAGAGAGAGGGCGGUCCACGCCGUGAAAUCUUAUUCAAGGUUGACCUCGGAUCGGGUAGGAAUACCCGCUGAACUUAA
RNAcentral lists this ribosomal RNA (582 nucleotides) under uncultured fungus. RNAcentral's name for it is "eukaryotic LSU rRNA". The stretch from base 247 to 399 matches the Rfam family "5.8S ribosomal RNA". Lineage: Eukaryota; Fungi. The record is from RNAcentral.